Molecule: long non-coding RNA, 1012 nt
Organism: Setaria italica (foxtail millet)
Lineage: Eukaryota; Viridiplantae; Streptophyta; Magnoliopsida; Poales; Poaceae
Exons: 3
Source: RefSeq, a predicted model, not a curated record
UUCUUCUCGCUAGGGCGUGGGGUGGUCCGCGAUGGCGGCGAAAGGCACGCUCUGUCCGGUCCGCGAUGGCGGAGACCCUACAGCCCCGGCAACCCGGACCCGAAGCCCCUAACCCCAAACCCUUACCCUACCGGCGGCCACUCACCGGAGACCUCACACCCCGCCCUCGCCCAGUCCCUGGCCCACCGGCUGUCAAGCCGCUGCCCCCCGGCCGGUGGCGUCCCCGCCGCCGCGCUGCCCCGCAACCCACCUCCGCCGCCGGGCUUCCUGCUCCCCCCUCCACCCCUUUUCUAAGGUCGGGAGCCAAUGAAGCUCCCCGACAACCCCACGCCCGAAGACCCUAACCUAGCGACGCGGUGGCGCCGGCGGCGAGCGGAGGUCGAACCGGCUAGCGGAGGUGGAAGAAGGCAGAGGAGGUAGUGACGCUGACAAACGGGACCCACGCAUAUGAGUCGUCACGCCCCCUUCGUCGCCAGUCUUUGAAGAAAGGCGGCGGGCAACGAGUGACCGAGCAACACCAAGCCAUAUGCUGCUCCUGUGCAGCAGCAAUAUAUGCAACGAGCACUGCAUUGGCGAGGGUGCCACCAUGGGAAAAUAUGGCUUACUCAUCGUCAGGUCCUUCUGCUUCUGCACCAAAGAAUGCGACUGAAUCCAGUGACCUCAGCUGUAAUGGUCACUGACGAAUAAGAGCAUAAGGUUCUGAUCCAAGGUAUGGAUGCUGAUAAGAAGUUGGUCAAACAACUUGGUGCCCUUGCCAACACCGGGCGCUAGUCUUGAAGAUUGGUGGCGACAAUCUCUUCAGGCGCUGAACAGGAGGCAACGACGUGCAAUGGCGGGUCUGGAAUCCAUGGAACGAGAGGAACAGGCGUAUAUUUGGAGUAGUUGAGGCGGCGCCACCACGAGUGCUGUGUCUCAUCAAGGAAGAAAUCAGCUUGCGCCAGUAAGCAUGUGGAGCACCGAGUGUACCUUAGUUUUUCAUUAUGUUAGACCUAUGUUAUUUGAGUAAUGCAAU